Molecule: ribosomal RNA, 264 nt
Filed under: Staphylococcus epidermidis
Lineage: Bacteria; Bacillati; Bacillota; Bacilli; Caryophanales; Staphylococcaceae
Description: partial 23S ribosomal RNA
Rfam family: Bacterial large subunit ribosomal RNA
Source: RNAcentral
AGUAGGAUAGGCGAAGCGUGCUGUUGGAGUGCACGUCCAAGCAGUAAGGCUGAGUGUUAGGCAAAUCCGGCACUCAUAAGGCUGAGCUGUGAUGGGGAGAGGAAAUUGUUUCCUCGAGUCGUUGAUUUCACACUGCCGAGAAAAGCCUCUAGAUAGAUAACAGGUGCCCGUACCGCAAACCGACACAGGUAGUCAAGAUGAGAAUUCUAAGGUGAGCGAGCGAACUCUCGUUAAGGAACUCGGCAAAAUGACCCCGUAACUCGG